Molecule: transfer RNA, 74 nt
Filed under: Planctomycetaceae bacterium
Lineage: Bacteria; Pseudomonadati; Planctomycetota; Planctomycetia; Planctomycetales; Planctomycetaceae
Also listed under: 1 other name
Description: tRNA-Arg
Rfam family: tRNA
About the family: Transfer RNA (tRNA) molecules are approximately 80 nucleotides in length. Their secondary structure includes four short double-helical elements and three loops (D, anti-codon, and T loops).
Source: RNAcentral
GCACCCGUAGCUCAAUUGGAUAGAGCACCGGUCUUCGGAACCGGGGGUUGGGGGUUCGAGUCCCUCCGGGUGUA